GCUCUCCGGAGAAGUCCGAUUUUUGGAUGCCGAAGGUGCAAGGCCCAUAAAGCCAAUCUCUCAGGCAAAAGGACGGAGUU
This 80-nucleotide non-coding RNA is filed under the name human gut metagenome. Its description in RNAcentral is "Glycine riboswitch". It matches the Rfam family "Glycine riboswitch aptamer", at positions 9 to 86 of the family's 94-position model. From Rfam's summary of the family: This family represents the bacterial glycine riboswitch. Glycine riboswitches usually consist of two metabolite-binding aptamers domains with similar structures in tandem. The aptamers cooperatively bind glycine to regulate the expression of downstream genes. The record is from RNAcentral.